Molecule: small RNA, 597 nt
Filed under: Pongo abelii (Sumatran orangutan)
Lineage: Eukaryota; Metazoa; Chordata; Mammalia; Primates; Hominidae
Description: retained intron
Source: RNAcentral
UCAGUGUUAUAUCUCUUUUCCAUGUGCAGGGGAAAUUUAAAGCUGUUAGAGACAGAUGAAAUGGGAAAAAAUGAUUUAAUGCAUGGACUUACGCAAUUUUACCCAAGUAGGGUGGGCUGUAUACCAUCCUCCCCUGCCUAGGUCGGUGAGGCAGGUUUUAAAAGCCAUCCUCAGAACUACGUGAGUUGAGCUGUGUCUGGACGUAUCCUGCCUCUCCAGGGCACACUGCAGAAGUUUGUGGAUGACCUCUUUGAGACCAUCUUCAGCACGGCACACCGUGGCUCUGCCCUGCCCCUGGCCAUCAAGUACAUGUUUGACUUCCUGGAUGAGCAGGCUGAUAAGCAUGGCAUUCAUGACCCGCACGUCCGCCAUACCUGGAAGAGCAAUUGCCUGCCCCUGCGGUUUUGGGUCAACAUGAUCAAGAACCCGCAGUUUGUGUUUGACAUCCAUAAGAACAGCAUCACAGAUGCCUGCCUCUCUGUGGUGGCUCAGACCUUCAUGGACUCUUGCUCCACGUCAGAGCACCGGCUGGGCAAGGACUCGCCCUCCAACAAGCUGCUGUAUGCCAAGGACAUCCCCAGCUACAAGAACUGGGUG